RNAcentral lists this small RNA (485 nucleotides) under Pan troglodytes (chimpanzee). RNAcentral's name for it is "processed transcript". The record is from RNAcentral. Lineage: Eukaryota; Metazoa; Chordata; Mammalia; Primates; Hominidae.
CUGUGCUUUGUUGGAAUCUGGCUAUCUGCUUACAGCUAUUGAGGAAACUCAGCUUUUUAGGAGUGUUUACAGCCUUUUUCAUACCUAAAUAGGAUGAACAGUAGAUAUAAACUUGCCAAGGCAGAAAUGUGUUGAUAAAUCAAAAUGUGUAUUUGUGGAGGGUUGUGCAUCUCUUGGUUGCAGCUUGCUAAAUAGGCCAUUUAGGAAUCUUCUUUCAAUGCUUUUUUCUUGAGCACUGCCUGGGGUGGUGAAAAAGCAGAGGGCAAGCCUUUGUCUGACGCCAAAAAUGUCUUCAGUGAAGAGGCCAAGAGGAAGGCCUCCAUCUUCCAAGAAGAGCGAUGGUUCUGGGACAUAUACUAAGUUGCAGAAUACCCAGUUGAAGGAAAAGAGGAAAAGAAAGGUAGAAGGAUGAAAUCCAAGCCAAAGGACAAAGACAGCAAAAAAACAAAAACAUGUUCUAAGUUAAAAGAGAAGACAAAAAUUGG